Molecule: long non-coding RNA, 306 nt
Filed under: Arabidopsis lyrata
Lineage: Eukaryota; Viridiplantae; Streptophyta; Magnoliopsida; Brassicales; Brassicaceae
Description: long non-coding RNA (ALYR_LNC000686)
Source: RNAcentral
CAGAAUGGGGUUGCUGAGAAUACCCGGCUGUGGCAGCAUGGGGUUGCUGAGAGUACCCGGUCGCUGCAGCAUAGGGUUGCUGAGAGUACCCGGUUGCUGCAGCAUAGGGUUGCUGGGAGUACCCGGUUGCUGCAGCAUAGGGUACCUGGGAGUACCCGGUUGCUGCAGCAUAGGGUACCUGGGAGUACCCGGUUGCUGCAGCAUGAGGUUGCUGAGAGUACCCGGUUGCUGCAGCAUGGGGUUGCUGAGCGUACCCAAUUUCAUGGGGUUUUUGAAUAUAUCCGGUUCCACCAGCAUAGAGUUGAG